UACGUAGGUGGCAAGCGUUGUCCGGAAUUAUUGGGCGUAAAGCGCGCGCAGGCGGUUCCUUAAGUCUGAUGUGAAAGCCCGUGGCUCAACCACGGAGGGCCAUUGGAAACUGGGGAACUUGAGAACUGAAGAGGAGAGUGGAAUUCCACGUGUAGCGGUGAAAUGCGUAGAUAUGUGGAGGAACACCAGUGGCGAAGGCGACUCUCUGGUCGGUUUCUGACGCUGAGGUGCGAAAGCUAGGGGAGAGAACGGG
This 253-nucleotide unclassified non-coding RNA is filed under the name uncultured Bacillaceae bacterium. Its description in RNAcentral is "contains 16S-23S intergenic spacer region". It matches the Rfam family "Bacterial small subunit ribosomal RNA", at positions 524 to 776 of the family's 1533-position model. Lineage: Bacteria; Bacillati; Bacillota; Bacilli; Caryophanales; Bacillaceae. The record is from RNAcentral.